Molecule: ribosomal RNA, 482 nt
Filed under: uncultured bacterium
Lineage: Bacteria
Description: partial 16S ribosomal RNA
Rfam family: Bacterial small subunit ribosomal RNA
Source: RNAcentral
AUUGAACGCUGGCGGCAUGAUUUACACAUGCAAGUCGAACGGUAACAUGCCGCAAGGUCCUGACUAAUGUUGAACGGGUGAGUAAUGCAUCGGAACGUGCCCAGUCGCUGUGAGUAACUACUCGAUAGAGUAGCUAAUACCUCAUACCAGCUAUUGUUUAAAGCGGGGUGGCGUAAUAGUUCACGCGAUUUUUGCUGUCGCUGUCAGAUGAGGUAGUUGGUGGGGUAAAGGCUCACCAAGGCAACGAUCUGUAGCUGGUCUGAGAGGACGACCAGCCACACUGGAACUGAGACACGGUCCAGACUCCUACGGGAGGCAGCAGUGGGGAAUUUUGGACAAUGGGCGAAAGCCUGAUCCAGCAAUGCCGCGUGCAGGAAGAAGGCCUUCGGGUUGUAAAAUGCUUUUGUACGGAAAGAAACGGCUCUGGUUAAUACCCGGAGCUCAUGACGGUACCGUAAGAAUAAGCACCGGCUAACUACGUG